AUUGAACGCUGGCGGCAUGCCUUACACAUGCAAGUCGAACGGUAACAGGUUAAGCUGACGAGUGGCGAACGGGUGAGUAAUACAUCGGAACGUGCCCAGACGUGGGGGAUAACGUAGCGAAAGCUACGCUAAUACCGCAUACGAACUGAGGUUGAAAGCGGGGGACCGUAAGGCCUCGCGCGUUUGGAGCGGCCGAUGGCAGAUUAGGUAGUUGGUGGGGUAAAGGCUUACCAAGCCUGCGAUCUGUAGCUGGUCUGAGAGGACGACCAGCCACACUGGGACUGAGACACGGCCCAGACUCCUACGGGAGUCAGCAGUGGGGAAUUUUGGACAAUGGGCGCAAGCCUGAUCCAGCAAUGCCGCGUGCAGGAUGAAGGCCUUCGGGUUGUAAACUGCUUUUGUACGGAGCGAAACGGCUCUCUCUAAUACAGGGGGCUAAUGACGGUACCGUAAGAAUAAGCACCGGCUAACUACGUGCCAGCAGCCGCCGUAA
This 493-nucleotide ribosomal RNA is filed under the name uncultured bacterium. RNAcentral describes it as "partial 16S ribosomal RNA". It matches the Rfam family "Bacterial small subunit ribosomal RNA", at positions 30 to 523 of the family's 1533-position model. The record is from RNAcentral.